CCUUGGCCGGCUGGAAUGUCACAGAAACCAAUGUCAAAUAAAUACAGGGCUUGCACUCCAUGUUGCAAAAAUAAGCAUGUCCAUUUGCUUGAAAGAAAAAAAAAAAAGUCUUUCAGAUGAGGGAACAUUUUCCAGUCAAUCACACAGCAGCAAAGUCAUCCUGUUGAAUUUGUGACUCACAGGCUCUCUGUGUCAAUAGACAGAGAGUGAGCCCAGCGUUAUGACUUCAGUGGGAGAUGAAGCAGAAGCUGGGAUGAGGCAGGGCUGGCUUUAAAGCAGAGCCCUGGGCUCUGACAAUAAAUAGCGGAGGAAAGUCUGACCACUCACAGGGAGCUCUUGAGGGAGGCCACCCUGGUCCGAAGUGCAUCUUACUUCUAACGUCUGCGUGGGCUCUAGCAAAGGAUCUAGCGGAAAAUACGGUUCAGGGAGUGUGUGAAGCCUGGGCCAACGCAGAGAACGAAGAGAAGACGUGGAGUUGUAGAUUUCUGUCUCCACCUACUUAAGACUUACGGUCUUGAAGGCAUCUUCAGAGCCAACUGCCACAACAUUUCAGGGUAAGGUUUGUUUUUUCUUUUUAAAUUAAAAAAAAAAAAGAAUAUAUAUAUAUAGGGUCUUCCCUGGUAGCUCAGUGGUAAAGAAUCCACCUGCUGAUGCAGGAGAC
Molecule: long non-coding RNA, 661 nt
Organism: Bos indicus x Bos taurus (hybrid cattle)
Lineage: Eukaryota; Metazoa; Chordata; Mammalia; Artiodactyla; Bovidae
Source: Ensembl